GUCAUGAUCUGCUGAGAUGGUUUCU
This 25-nucleotide non-coding RNA is filed under the name Cricetulus griseus (Chinese hamster). Lineage: Eukaryota; Metazoa; Chordata; Mammalia; Rodentia; Cricetidae. The record is from RNAcentral.